AAUCAACGCUGGCGGCGUGCCUAACACAUGCAAGUCGAACGAGAAAAGUUCCUUCGGGAACCAAGUACAGUGGCGAACGGGUGAGUAACGCGUGGGUAACCUGCCCUUGGAAGGGGGAUAACACGAGGAAACUGGUGCUAAUACCGCAUACGCCUGUGACGAGAGAUUGUUACAGGGAAAGCUCUUCGGGGUGUCCAAGGAGGGGCCCGCGUCCGAUUAGCUAGUUGGUGGAGUAACGGUUCACCAAGGCGACAAUCGGUAACCGGUCUGAGAGGACGGACGGUCACACUGGGACUGAGACACGGCCCAGACUCCUACGGGAGGCAGCAGUGGGGAAUUUUGCGCAAUGGGGGAAACCCUGACGCAGCAACGCCGCGUGAAGGAAGAAGGCUUUCGAGUUGUAAACUUCUGUUUCGGGGGACGAAGAAGUGACGGUACCCCGGCAGCAAGCCCCGACUAACUCCGUG
Molecule: ribosomal RNA, 467 nt
Filed under: uncultured bacterium
Lineage: Bacteria
Description: bacterial SSU rRNA
Rfam family: Bacterial small subunit ribosomal RNA
Source: RNAcentral